Molecule: long non-coding RNA, 260 nt
Filed under: Mytilus galloprovincialis (Mediterranean mussel)
Lineage: Eukaryota; Metazoa; Mollusca; Bivalvia; Mytilida; Mytilidae
Source: RNAcentral
UUAAAAAAAAAUCACUGGUUUAUGUCUCUUCCGUAACAUGCGGCAUAUAUUGAUAGUGGGAGUCCUUUAUAUACAUGCUCCUGAUGCCCUUAUCUCAAGGGCGGCCUAAAUGUACAUGCUUAAGUUUACACAGCAAAUGCGCCUUUCCAGAAUGAUGUGUUAUUAUUUGGGCAUAUCUUAUAAGGUUUAUUCCUCCAAAACUAGGAAAGCAUCUUUAUCAACGCGAAACCAAAUAGUUCAUGGCGAACCUCUGACUAAAC